GUUUCAGGAUGGGAUGUGGGGGGGUGCGUUUUUAUGUCUGUUGAUGUGUACAAUGUUAGAAGUGAUGUUGUCUAAGCAGGAGUAGCUCACCUUGACGUUAUGGGGUUGAAGAGUUUGUAAUACUUAUGACCUCCGGGGAAAUGUUUUUUUAAUUAACAACAGGAAGCCCCUGAAUAUGUUUCCUUUCUAAUUACAUACUUUCAGGUUCAGUCUUGCAUGGCACCUUGGGAAAAUGCUUUUUACUAUAGCUCUGGGUCCACCAAAACAAUGUGAGUGGAUUUUGUCAAUGAAAACUAGAAGAAGCCCAUUGUAUAUAUAUGUGCAUAUGUUUGUGUCUCCUUGUCUUGACAUUGUAUGAUAGUUGUAAACAAGUGGUGUCCAUGUUGUGUUCUUCAUUUAUCCACCAUGGGGAAUAUUACCUUACUUAAAAACAGGUGAGUGUUGGCAAUAAGAAGGCAUCCAGUCAUGUAAAAUCUGGCUCAAUGCAUUCCAUGUGAUCCAUGCAAGGAAGGAAGAGUGAAAUCAGUUAAAAUAGUGAUGAUGAUUAUGAUGACUCGAGGAGACCCAUCCACCACAGCAGAAUUGAUACUGGUGCUGAUGCCACAUAAAAAGCACUGAUACUGGUGUCACAUAAAGAGCGCCCAUGCUUGUGCCAUGUUAAAUGCACUGGUGUUGGUGCCACAUAAAAAGCACCCAAUACAUUCUGUGGAGUGAUUGGCAUUAGGAAGGAUAUCCAGCCACAGGAAUCAUUUCAGAACAGACAAUAGAACUUGGUGUAGCCCUCGGCCUUACCAGCUCUGGAAAACAGAUGUUAAAUGAUGAUGAUAAUGCUGCUGCUGCUGAUGAUGAUGAUGAUGGUGAUAAUGAUGUAUAUAUACAUAUAUAUACACACACACAUGAAUGCAUAU
Octopus sinensis (East Asian common octopus) is the source of this 908-nucleotide long non-coding RNA. RefSeq lists it as uncharacterized. The transcript is spliced from 3 exons. The record is from RefSeq and is a predicted model, not a curated record. Lineage: Eukaryota; Metazoa; Mollusca; Cephalopoda; Octopoda; Octopodidae.